CAAAGAAACGUAGGGUCAGCUAGUUUAGAUUAUAGACUCAGUGUUGUUUUAGAGGAUAUACGAAGGUAUGUUAUACAGCGUAUACCAAUUUACCAUAUGGUGAAUUAGCGUUUACUAUGUAACAAAUGUUAAUUAUUUUACAUGAUAAUUUUAAUGUUUUUAUUUUUGUCAGUUAUUAUGAAAACUGAACUAUCGAUAUUGAAUAAUCGAAAUUGGAUAAUUGGAUA
Molecule: non-coding RNA, 227 nt
Organism: Cinara cedri
Lineage: Eukaryota; Metazoa; Arthropoda; Insecta; Hemiptera; Aphididae
Source: the annotation of a GenBank genome assembly